This is a long non-coding RNA of Equus asinus (donkey), 2284 nucleotides long. The record is from Ensembl. NCBI's taxonomy places the organism in Eukaryota, Metazoa, Chordata, Mammalia, Perissodactyla, Equidae.
CCUUCCCUUCCCUCAGAUCCAUCCUGACAGGGCUGUCAGUUCUUGUCACCGCUCCAAGUUUCUGGAAGUCUCCAGUCUGCUUUCAAUGAGAUCACUGUCAAAGCUUAUCCCUUUUAGCCUCAAAGCACAGCUAAACUUGAGACUGUCAUUUCUAAUGGCUCUCCACAGGUUUGAGGCUAACGUAAGAGGAUUACAGUGUAGAAAGGAAAUCUUAAGGACGGUGCCAGCUAUUCCUGCUCCUGGCAUUACUCAAUCUGACCACCUACAGGCUCUCUCCAUGGUCCCAACAUGGCUGCCAUGUUGCUGGGGCCCACUCCUUCUUUGAGAACCCCCCCAAGCCUCUCCCCACCUUCGCCUCCCAUCCAUAGUGACAGGAUGAGGGAAUGCAUGCCUUCUUAUCAUCAUCACCAUCACCUGGCCAGAAAUGCACUUCACCUACAGGGAAAUAGCUUUCUCUCACAAUUGCUGAAUGCUGAGAGUCUUCGCUGGAAGCAGUUGUGCCAGCAAAAAUCUCAUCAGAUUGUUUAGCCCCUAAGAACAGAGGAAGAACCUACCCUUAAGACUGAGUUAGACCUCCAGAAACAGAGCCCCAUUUAACAAUACCUCAUUUGUCCCUGGCCCAGUGAAUUGAUGAGGCUGUGGGUUGUGCUCCAUACGUGUAGGAGAAGCGAAGGGCCUGGGAACCAGGCACUGGGAAGCUCGCAAUCCAUGCAGGAGGUUCCAAGGAGGCUCCCAGGGGCCAGGUCCCGAGGAUGAGUCACACCACCGAGCCAGACCCAGUAUAAGAGGCUUUAUUGACUACAGUGCAAACUAAGCAUGAAGAAGAAACAAUCACUUGAAAACACCAAAGACCCUUACAUAGCAAAAGUUAAGAAAUAAAUUAAGACUCCUGUGGGGCUACGCCUGGGAGGAAGGGCAGGCCUCAUUCACUUCGAUCCUUGGGUUCUCGGUAUUUCCACUGGAUGUAGUCAAAGAUGUCUUUCUCACUAGCCACUGGCAGGGGCUCUCCAGCAACCCCCGUGACUCCCAAGGGACGGAUUGUGUACUCGUUGAUCAUGAAGCCCUUUUCUAGCGCAUGAGCUCUCAUAUUAUUAUUGAAAAUAUAACUCCCGGUGAAAUAGAGAACACCACAGUAAUACUAGUCCUUGGGUAUUAAUCUGAUACCAAUUCUCCUGCGUGGAUACUCCUUUUCAUCAUUUUUACUGGGAAGCUGGCAAACACCCAUGAACUUAGUUUCACCUUUUGACAGUAUCUGUAAUAAAAUGGACCUUACUGCUCCACAACACUAUGCAACAGCUUUGGCUGUUUGGUUGAUUCAGAGGUAAAGCUUGGAUGGGUCAGAAGAACAUCCAUGUCGCCACUGGACGCUGCACCUCUUCUGAAACUGCCACAGACUGUAACAAUGUAUUCAGAAUCCACUUUUUUAACUUCAUUUAGUACAAUAUCUUGCAUUUGUAACAUCUCUUCACGAGGAAUUCUUUUCUCAAAGUCCUCAAAAUAUUUCAGCCCAAUUCGUUGAUGAUGGUUCAAUUUGUCUUCAUUUUUUCUUGAGAUCUUCUAAUGUUUUAAUUCCUUCGUCUACAAACUUCCUCGCAGCAGAUGGACCAAUGCCACUAACUCGAGUCAGGAAAUUGAUGGAUGAACUCAUAUCAUCCUGCCGAGUCUUUUCCAGUCGCUAAAAACUCAUCAAUCUUCUCAGCAAUUUUUGUUCCUACUCCAGGCAAUUUCUUAGCUUCCGCUCCACUCUUUAUUUUGUGUAUUUUGCUAUCACAGAUGCUGCUUUUUGUAAGUAUUGCACUUGCGGAUUGCCUGGUUCACAUUCUUCUCAAAGUUUGCGAGUUCUGUGAGCAUGUCGGUGAUUCCCUCGUUGAGAGUCUCCUGUGGCGCCUUCCGUUUGCUCCUGAUGGCCUGCGCCUGAGGGCCGCGGAGGGCUCAGAGCCAGGGACUGUCCCCCUCCAGCUUUAAGGUGGGGCCGGGACCCGAAGAGGGCGUAGCACCCACCCACCCGGGAAAGCCUGCGCGACGCGCGGAACAAUGGCUGCCUCUGACAGGAGGCGCGGCGCGCGGCACCUGGUGACAUAAUUUGUUAGAAUGUUAUCCUCACUACUAAAUUUCUAAAUCUCUUGGUAAAAUGUAUCUGUAUAACACCAUUUUUGUAAUUGUUAAUUUCUACUGUAUCUCUUUUAUAUCUGAUUUCUCAUUUAUAUGUUUUCUUCUGCGUGUUUCUAUUUUUCCCUUAAUUUAAUUUUUCUGAAAUAGUAAUUUUUUAUUUUCAAAUAAUUAA